RNAcentral lists this ribosomal RNA (495 nucleotides) under uncultured bacterium. RNAcentral's name for it is "partial 16S ribosomal RNA". It matches the Rfam family "Bacterial small subunit ribosomal RNA", at positions 28 to 507 of the family's 1533-position model. The record is from RNAcentral.
GACGAACGCUGGCGGCGUGCCUAAUACAUGCAAGUAGAACGCUGAAGGAGGAGCUUCCUUCUCUGGAUGAGUUGCGAACGGGUGAGUAACGCGUAGGUAACCUGCCUGGUAGCGGGGGAUAACUAUUGGAAACGAUAGCUAAUACCGCAUAAUAGUAGAUGUUGCAUGACAUUUGCUUAAAAGGUGCAAUUGCAUCACUACCAGAUGGACCUGCGUUGUAUUAGCUAGUUGGUGGGGUAACGGCUCACCAAGGCGACGAUACAUAGCCGACCUGAGAGGGUGAUCGGCCACACUGGGACUGAGACACGGCCCAGACUCCUACGGGAGGCAGCAGUAGGGAAUCUUCGGCAAUGGACGGAAGUCUGACCGAGCAACGCCGCGUGAGUGAAGAAGGGUUUCGGAUCGUAAAGCUCUGUUGUAAGAGAAGAACGAGGGUGAGAGUGGAAAGUUCACACUGUGACGGUAUCUUACCAGAAAGGGACGGCUAACUACGUG